This 261-nucleotide ribosomal RNA is filed under the name uncultured bacterium. Its description in RNAcentral is "partial 16S ribosomal RNA". It matches the Rfam family "Bacterial small subunit ribosomal RNA", at positions 94 to 353 of the family's 1533-position model. The record is from RNAcentral.
AGCGGCGGACGGGNGAGUAACGCGUGGGUAACCUGCCCUGUACACACGGAUAACAUACCGAAAGGUAUGCUAAUACGAGAUAAUAUACUUUUAUCGCAUGGUAGAAGUAUCAAAGCUCCGGCGGUACAGGAUGGACCCGCGUCUGAUUAGCUAGUUGGUAAGGUAACGGCUUACCAAGGCGGCGAUCAGUAGCCGACCUGAGAGGGUGAUCGGCCACAUUGGAACUGAGACACGGUCCAGACUCCUACGGGAGGCAGCAUG